AACGAACGCUGGCGGCAUGCCUAACACAUGCAAGUCGAACGAGACCUUCGGGUCUAGUGGCGCACGGGUGCGUAACGCGUGGGAACCUGCCCUUAGGUUCGGAAUAACUCCCCGAAAGGGGUGCUAAUACCGGAUAAUGUCUUCGGACCAAAGAUUUAUCGCCUUUGGAUGGGCCCGCGUUGGAUUAGCUAGUUGGUAGGGUAAAAGCCUACCAAGGCGACGAUCCAUAGCUGGUCGGAGAGGAUGAUCAGCCACACUGGGAAUGAGACACGGCCCAGACUCCUACGGGAGGCAGCAGUGGGGAAUAUUGGACAAUGGGCGAAAGCCUGAUCCAGCAAUGCCGCGUGAGUGAUGAAGGCCUUAGGGUUGUAAAGCUCUUUUACCCGGGAUGAUAAUGACAGUACCGGGAGAAUAAGCACCGGCUAACUCCGUG
This 433-nucleotide ribosomal RNA is filed under the name uncultured bacterium. Its description in RNAcentral is "partial 16S ribosomal RNA". It matches the Rfam family "Bacterial small subunit ribosomal RNA", at positions 29 to 507 of the family's 1533-position model. The record is from RNAcentral.